GAUGAACGCUGGCGGCGUGCCUAAUACAUGCAAGUCGAGCGAACAGAUGAGGAGCUUGCUCCUCUGACGUUAGCGGCGGACGGGUGAGUAACACGUGGAUAACCUACCUAUAAGACUGGGAUAACUUCGGGAAACCGGAGCUAAUACCGGAUAAUAUAUUGAACCGCAUGGUUCAAUAGUGAAAGACGGUUUUGCUGUCACUUAUAGAUGGAUCCGCGCCGCAUUAGCUAGUUGGUAAGGUAACGGCUUACCAAGGCAACGAUGCGUAGCCGACCUGGGAGGGUGAUCGGCCACACUGGAACUGAGACACGGUCCAGACUCCUACGGGAGGCAGCAGUAGGGAAUCUUCCGCAAUGGGCGAAAGCCUGACGGAGCAACGCCGCGUGAGUGAUGAAGGUCUUCGGAUCGUAAAACUCUGCUAUUAGGGAAGAACAAAUGUGUAAGUAACUAUGCACGUCUUGACGGUACCGAAUCAGAAAGCCACGGCUAACUACGUG
This 497-nucleotide ribosomal RNA is filed under the name uncultured bacterium. RNAcentral describes it as "partial 16S ribosomal RNA". It matches the Rfam family "Bacterial small subunit ribosomal RNA", at positions 28 to 507 of the family's 1533-position model. The record is from RNAcentral.